GUUUUAUGGCAAUGUGUCAGCGAUGACCUUCAGCAAUCAAACUGGAACCGUGCUCGUAAAGGCUAGUCUCGUGUUCCAGUCAAACAAAACCAACGCUGAUGAGAUCAAAGGGCUGUUUAUGAACGCGACCGCUGCCGAUAAGGAAAUAAACGGCCUUAAAGUCAACCCUAAUUUCACACAAGUUUCAGUGAAAUCUGAGGAGGCUCCGAAUGCUUUAGUGACUUACGAGCUCACCAUGGACAUCACCAACCGCAUCUACAACAGCUCUCUACUCAAGUCCAACUCUUCUGAUUAUGCGAUCUUGUACAAACAAGUUACUGACAUGCUCAACUCCAUCUACGGCUGUGCCACGUGUAAAACACACGUGUUUUAUGGCAAUGUGUCAGCGAUGUCCUUCAGCAAUCAAACUGGAACCGUGCUCGUAAAGGCUAGUCUCGUGUUCCAGUCAAACAAAACCAACGCUGAUGAGAUCAAAGGGCUGUUUAUGAACGCGACCGCUGCCGAUAAGGAAAUAAACGGCCUUAAAGUCAACCCUAAUUUCACACAAGUUUCAGUGAAAUCUGAGGAGGCUCCGAAUGCUUUAGUGACUUACGAGCUCACCAUGGACAUCACCAACCGCAUCUACAACAGCUCUCUACUCAAGUCCAACUCUUCUGAUUAUGCGAUCUUGUACAAACAAGUUACUGAC
Long non-coding RNA from Ictalurus punctatus (channel catfish), 688 nucleotides. The record is from Ensembl. NCBI's taxonomy places the organism in Eukaryota, Metazoa, Chordata, Actinopteri, Siluriformes, Ictaluridae.